Molecule: ribosomal RNA, 455 nt
Filed under: uncultured bacterium
Lineage: Bacteria
Description: bacterial SSU rRNA
Rfam family: Bacterial small subunit ribosomal RNA
Source: RNAcentral
UGCAAGUCGAACGGCAGCACGGGUGCUUGCACCUGGUGGCGAGUGGCGAACGGGUGAGUAAUACAUCGGAACGUACCUUAUCGUGGGGGAUAACGCAGCGAAAGUUGCGCUAAUACCGCAUACGCCCUGAGGGGGAAAGCGGGGGACCGUAAGGCCUCGCGCGAUUAGAGCGGCCGAUGUCUGAUUAGCUUGUUGGUGAGGUAAAAGCUCACCAAGGCGAUGAUCAGUAGCUGGUCUGAGAGGACGAUCAGCCACACUGGGACUGAGACACGGCCCAGACUCCUACGGGAGGCAGCAGUGGGGAAUUUUGGACAAUGGGGGCAACCCUGAUCCAGCAAUGCCGCGUGAGUGAAGAAGGCCUUCGGGUUGUAAAGCUCUUUUGUCAGGGAAGAAACAGCAGCUCUAACACAGUCUGCGAAUGACGGUACCUGAAGAAUAAGCACCGGCUAACUACG